GGUAAUGAAAACAGACAACACACUGCAUUGACAUUGCAGGGGUCACAGGUUCAACCUGUCACGCCCACCA
RNAcentral lists this transfer RNA (70 nucleotides) under Mesorhizobium sp. L2C066B000. RNAcentral's name for it is "tRNA-Val". The record is from RNAcentral. Lineage: Bacteria; Pseudomonadati; Pseudomonadota; Alphaproteobacteria; Hyphomicrobiales; Phyllobacteriaceae.